Molecule: microRNA precursor, 93 nt
Filed under: Pelobates cultripes (western spadefoot toad)
Lineage: Eukaryota; Metazoa; Chordata; Amphibia; Anura; Pelobatidae
Source: RNAcentral
CUCCAGAUGUUGCUGAACUACAACUCCCAUGAUUCUAUGAAUUAAAUAGAUGGGCUGAGAAUCAUGGGAGUUGUAGUUCAGCAACAUCUGGAG